GUCCUCGUAAAUUAGCACGUAGUCGAUCACCCGGAGCUUCUCAGUUCCGUCCAUUGCGCUUCACGCAAGCCUUCAACUCUACACAGCUAGCGAAGUAAACACAGCUCAAACCUCUAAACGAACGGCAACCUGGCGUGGACGAGCAAAUAGAUGUACAACAUCCCUUUGUACAUUGCGCAGGACGGAAGAACAAAGGACGAGGCGGCCCAGUAUUGUCUUCAAUAUAAACAGAGAAAGAGAGAUUAUACAGGUGCUCGAAAUCCAGAGAAACAAACACAAAAUGCAGAAAGAACUCAGCAGGUCAAAGGACCUCUAUGGAGAGGAAUAAACAGUUGACGUUUCGGGCAUAGACCAUUCAUCAGGACGCGAUUUAACAGCUCUGAGGGGCCGAAGGGGCGGGAGCAGCCCCCUCCUUCCGGAGAAUCGCAAGAUCGCUAUUAAUUUGGGUCUUGGACUCAGGAAAUGAGAGACAAUGCAACGGUUUUGGCCAUUGUUCUUAGAGACACCUGUGUGAAGUGCAUGUCCCUGCUACGUGACAGCUACCAUGGAUAUGGACACCCUCAGGAAAUGGGGGUGGGGAUUGCAUCACCCUUCGUUGAUGGACAUCUACAACUCUGCAAGUCAAGAUAAAAGGGACUGCAGGAGGCUGUACCCCAGCGACGCACCAGAAGGACACCAUCACUCAGUGCUCCAGUGCUAGCGGAAGCCCUAUAAAGCCACGUGCAUUCCGCCUCUCCUUGGCCUGAGGAGCGGGUGGCUGAUAACACCGAAAAGGACUUCGAACUCACAACGGGGAACCAACGCUCCCCUGUUUCAACGGAUGCUUCAUAAAGACCCGGCAAGUCUUUACUUUUCUCACCAAUCUCUCUCUCUCUGUCGCACCACGUGAAACCCACCGAUUCCCAAAAGGCUGAAGCCUGCAGACUUCUGAGUGAAUUUUAUAUUUCCAACGAAUAAUAUAUUAUCCCCUAAACAACAGUAGAGCUCAUUUCUUAAUGAUGAUUAUUACUAUACCCGCGCUUUAGAUUGAGUAUUGACGAUGUGCAUUAUCUGAAUGUUUGUAUUAACCUUACUUUU
This is a long non-coding RNA of Hypanus sabinus (Atlantic stingray), 1077 nucleotides long. RefSeq lists it as uncharacterized. Lineage: Eukaryota; Metazoa; Chordata; Chondrichthyes; Myliobatiformes; Dasyatidae. The transcript is spliced from 3 exons. The record is from RefSeq and is a predicted model, not a curated record.